CAAAACCAAACCAGUCAGACCAGAGAGAGGUUUCAGUCUCUCUCACCUGUUUACGGACGUUUAAUUUUUGAUCCUGCAAUUACAGGACAAGGAAAUACGUUAGUUGAUGACGUCACUGCGCGAGCCUUUCCUGUGAGCGGGAAAACGCUGGGGAAAGUUACAUGAUAAGUCAGACCAGCAGGGCAAAGUUCAAUGGCACGCCUGCUCCAAAGGUGAUCAGGGUCCUGCUGUAGUGGAUCAGUCUUCACUGGAUCUGUGCAGGUCAACAUCCAUUACUUAUCUUACUGCAGUCACGAGUUUUCUUUUUGUAGACACUGAAUCCAUUAAGUCUGCUGAGGGCUCUGAUCUCCUUGUCAGUUGACAUAUAAUUUAGAAAAUUAUGAACAUACAUAAGUGAGAGAGCUAAAUUUUAUGGCCUGAUACCCUCUCUAAAUGGCUUAUUUUACUACAAGAUUUGAUGUAGUGCUGUUUCUUUUUUUUUUUUUUUUUUAAAG
Long non-coding RNA from Trichomycterus rosablanca, 494 nucleotides. RefSeq lists it as uncharacterized. The record is from RefSeq and is a predicted model, not a curated record. The transcript is spliced from 3 exons. NCBI's taxonomy places the organism in Eukaryota, Metazoa, Chordata, Actinopteri, Siluriformes, Trichomycteridae.